AGUUUCCGGUGUAUAGUCUCAAACAAUCAGGGAUUUGGUACUACCGAAGUACGGUUACUUUCUAGACCACCAAACAUCGUGAUCCCGAUCAGCCAGAAGAACGGCAUGGUAGGGUCCACCAUCACCAUGACACUCAAGUGGCAGGGGCUGCCCAUCCCUACCAUGGAGUGGAUCAGACAGGGUGACGUGAUCGCCACCAGGACACCAGACGGAGUGGUCAAGAAAACAUCUUCGAAGUAUAACGUGACAGAAGAGGGCUACCUGAUCAUCAAAAACUUGGCACCAGAAGACGCAGGAAGUUACAGCUUCAGAAUCCAAAACGUCCUAGGCAGUAGAGACACAGCUGGGAGACUAUA
Branchiostoma belcheri (Belcher's lancelet) is the source of this 356-nucleotide long non-coding RNA. RefSeq lists it as uncharacterized. The record is from RefSeq and is a predicted model, not a curated record. Lineage: Eukaryota; Metazoa; Chordata; Leptocardii; Amphioxiformes; Branchiostomatidae. The transcript has 3 exons.